GAUGAACGCUGGCGGCGUGCCUAAUACAUGCAAGUCGAGCGAACGGACGAGAAGCUUGCUUCUCUGAUGUUAGCGGCGGACGGGUGAGUAACACGUGGAUAACCUACCUAUAAGACUGGGAUAACUUCGGGAAACCGGAGCUAAUACCGGAUGAUAUUUUGAACCGCAUGGUUCAAAAGUGAAAGACGGUCUUGCUGUCACUUAUAGAUGGAUCCGCGCUGCAUUAGCUAGUUGGUAAGGUAACGGCUUACCAAGGCAACGAUGCAUAGCCGACCUGAGAGGGUGAUCGGCCACACUGGAACUGAGACACGGUACAGACUCCUACGGGAGGCAGCAGUAGGGAAUCUUCCGCAAUGGGCGAAAGCCUGACGGAGCAACGCCGCGUGAGUGAUGAAGGUCUUCGGAUCGUAAAACUCUGUUAUUAGGGAAGAACAUAUGUGUAAGUAACUGCGCACAUCUUGACGGUACCUAAUCAGAAAGCCACGGCUAACUACGUG
Molecule: ribosomal RNA, 497 nt
Filed under: uncultured bacterium
Lineage: Bacteria
Description: partial 16S ribosomal RNA
Rfam family: Bacterial small subunit ribosomal RNA
Source: RNAcentral